AUUACUGCCAAUUAAAAUUACUUUGUUCUCUAUAGAAUCAAUUCAAUCAAAAUAACAGACCAAGAAUAGAAAAGUACAGAUAAGCUUGCGUAAGUCAAUCUUGACGGGACUGAGUGAAAUGCGUCGACUUAGGCAAUCUUCGACUUGUGAGUAAGUCAUAGAAAUUCGACUUACGCAUAUGUACAACAUAUGCAACACACAGCCUAGCCAACCUGCAGCGAGCAACAUACAUGUACUUAAUAGCAAUAUAAGUAGUUCACAGAAGUACUUCUUAGUUUUCUCUUUCAGGGAUAUUAGUUUAUUAAAUAGAGUCCCCCUUUCUCUGAAGGGAAACAAAAUGAUAUUUCUAUCAAGUAGGAAUAGUCCUAGCUGCUUGUUAAUCACACACGCACACAUAUACUAGGUGGCAUAACGUACAUUCCUGUCUGAAGAGAGACAAUAGGAGUGGCCCUUAUAGACAGGUAACCCACUACAACAGGUUGACUGCACAUCAUUACUUGUGAUAUGGUCUUCAUAGAUACAUAAAGAGGCACUCAUACAUUGUAUGUGGAUACACAUGUUCAAUACAAUCAACCUCAUGUAUUAAAGACAGUCUAUGGAACUAAAAGAAAAAUAGUUCAACUUGUGCACAUGAGGAUGACCAUACCUGUGAACAGAAUUUACUGCAACACUAAAUUGCAUUCUACCAGACAAUUCUGGGCUAUACAUUUACACAGCAUUUUAACAUACACUAAGUAUACUUCUUCCAUUUAUGUACCUGUGUGCAUGCACAUGAAAUGGAUAAUAAUUUGGUCAUCUUUAUACCGCCAUACUUGUAUGAAAAUAAAACUCAACCUAUUACUAUAUCAAAGUCUGAAUAUUCAACAUUUAUGAUUUCACCUUCAUAAAUAUACAUCAUGUAUGCAUUAGGCUAGUAUGCAUAAAUUUCUGACUUUUUUUUUUAACCAUUCAAAGAUUUUCAAAUACUCUUUACAAGGGUAUACAAGUGUGCCUCUUAAAACAUAUCUAGAGGCGCACCAAGUGAUUUGGUUUUACGAGGGGUGUUGGUCCUCUUGCUGCUAUGUCAGGUUCUCCUUUGUACAUUGCACACUUGAUGCUUACACCAACUUGUGACUGAGAAAUACCAAGUCAAAGAGUAAUAAAUAUAAAUACAGGGACCAUCAAUAUUACCUUCAUAUAUCAAGCAUCUUGUUAUGCUUGGGUAAAAACAAGGGCUGGUACCAGCAACAUUAUUUUGUUACCGGUAUAUAACAGAUCUUUGGGAUGAAAUUCUGCUAUAUGUCGAUGCAGGUGGUCUUUCUAAACAAGUGGUGACUAUAGCAGGUUUGAAUGUUGUUAAAUGCUUUGGUCCUCUAAAUCAUUACCUCUAGGAUGUUUGAAAGCUAGAUAAGUGUUCACAAAUCUCUGCGCCAAUAAUCUGGACGGAUCUUGCACGUUAGCUAGAAUAGAUCACUGUUCACGACUAUUAUUAACGUUCACAAUAUUUUGUUCAAUAAAAGCAUUAGGGCUAUAUUACAUAGCCCAUAGACAAUAAUCUGAGACAAGGUUUGAGAAUCAUUGUAUUCUGGAAAUCAAUUUCUAUUUUCACCUUCUUUGGAAUAGACUAAAGAUACUAGAUAAGCAGCAGUCAAACAAUACGGGACUGCAUGACUGAUCAAACAUACCGGUACUUGGAAGCUUAAAAGGGACCCUGUAUGAUCACUGUGGUAUAAAUCGCACCCACAUAUAAAAUCCCAUACUGGGUGUUGGAAUUGGAUUUACUGUUAGGGUAAACUGAAAUGUCUGAAAUGCUGUUUUUUUCUGUCAAUUAACUUUUGAUGAUAUAUAGGUAUUGUAGCUCUUGACUGAAUCUCAUCGCAUCACAUUAUCUAACAUAAAGCAUACCAUAUAGGUUGAAACACAUAUUUUUACACAUU
Long non-coding RNA from Strongylocentrotus purpuratus (purple sea urchin), 1916 nucleotides. RefSeq lists it as uncharacterized. The record is from RefSeq and is a predicted model, not a curated record. NCBI's taxonomy places the organism in Eukaryota, Metazoa, Echinodermata, Echinoidea, Camarodonta, Strongylocentrotidae. The transcript has 2 exons.